CAAGAAAUAGUUUAUUAAAAUACUAACUUUGGAAGUUAGAGAUACCGUCAAGGUUUUCUUGA
This 62-nucleotide transfer RNA is filed under the name Streptocephalus cafer. Its description in RNAcentral is "tRNA-Pro". It matches the Rfam family "tRNA". From Rfam's summary of the family: Transfer RNA (tRNA) molecules are approximately 80 nucleotides in length. Their secondary structure includes four short double-helical elements and three loops (D, anti-codon, and T loops). The record is from RNAcentral. Lineage: Eukaryota; Metazoa; Arthropoda; Branchiopoda; Anostraca; Streptocephalidae.